GACGAACGCUGGCGGCGUGCCUAACACAUGCAAGUCGAACGGGGCAAUUUCUUCGGAGAUUGCUUAGUGGCGAACGGGUGAGUAACGCGUGAGAAACCUGCCUUUCAGUGGGGGACAACAGUUGGAAACGACUGCUAAUACCGCAUAAUGUCAUUUAGGGGCAUCCCUGGAUGACCAAAGCUUUAUGUGCUGAAAGAUGGUCUCGCGUCUGAUUAGCUAGUUGGUGAGGUAACGGCUCACCAAGGCGACGAUCAGUAGCCGGUCUGAGAGGAUGAACGGCCACAUUGGGACUGAGAUACGGCCCAGACUCCUACGGGAGGCAGCAGUGGGGAAUAUUGGGCAAUGGGGGAAACCCUGACCCAGCAACGCCGCGUGAAGGAAGAAGGCCUU
RNAcentral lists this ribosomal RNA (390 nucleotides) under uncultured bacterium. RNAcentral describes it as "bacterial SSU rRNA". It matches the Rfam family "Bacterial small subunit ribosomal RNA", at positions 28 to 418 of the family's 1533-position model. The record is from RNAcentral.